This 464-nucleotide unclassified non-coding RNA is filed under the name Hevea brasiliensis (rubber tree). Lineage: Eukaryota; Viridiplantae; Streptophyta; Magnoliopsida; Malpighiales; Euphorbiaceae. The record is from RNAcentral.
GGAAUCUUGAUUUCUUGAAGUACUUUCCUAAUCUGGAAAAACUGUCUCUGGCUGAUAAUAUGUUCACUGGAAAAAUACCAUUUUCAUUGAAAUCUUUCCGAAAUCUUCGUUUUCUCAACAUUUCAGGGAAUAGUUUCCUUGAAGGUCCAGUACCUGUCAUGAGCCAAAUUGAGCAUUUAUCAGCAGAUUUGAAUCGAAAAAAUGGCGUUCCUAAACGUUACAUUCUAGCUGAGAAUUCAACAAGGAUAUCUGCAAUGGGACCUGCUUCGGUUCCAGCUCCAGCUCCAGCACCUGUCAAUCGUGUUGUACCGGCGAUGCAUAAACGUAAGAACAAGAAAAGGAAGUUACGAUCUUGGUUUCUUGGUUUCCUAGCUGGAACUUUUGCUGGGGGUAUAUCUGCUGUGCUCUGUUCCUUGCUAUUCAAGAUGGUAAUGUUCUUCGUAAGAAGAGGGAAUAACGAUUCA